UUGCAAAGCCCAAUGCAGGGCUCAAACCUAUGAACUGUGAGAUCAUGACCUGAGCCGAAGUAGGACACUUAACUGACUGAGCUACCAGGCGCCCCAGGAAAUGCUUCUCUCUUUAUGCCAACAGAUGGUUAUCGUUUUCCAAAGUUCAGUCAUGUAGGACAAUUUUGCAAUAUCCACUUCCUAACUGUAUUAUUAUUUCCUUAGUGCCGCUCUUUAAAUUGAUGGUUUAAAUGAAAACACAUUUGUUCGACAUCAGCCCCCCCCACCCCCUUUGGGAGAUGCUGCCCUCGCUUUCACUGCCUUGGUGGGAGGGUGAGUGGCAGCAGGUUCACUUCUGGGGGCAGGGGGGACUCACCUGCCAAUGUGAGGAGAAGGGCCGGGGUCACUCUCUUCAUGAUACAGCUUCAGGGCAGGGCUGCAGGGGAGGGGGACAGGCUGGGGUCAGAUAGCCCUGACCUGCCGGAGGCUCACAGUCCCUGAGGCAAAGAACCAGGGCACAAAUCCCAAGGGUGCACUUGGCUUAUGAGGUGGUUUGGGGAAAGUUACCAAUUUCUAGUAGUAAUGACUAGUGGAGUGACAUAUAUUCAGCUACUACUAGUUAAGUAUUUAGAACAGUGCUUGCAUGGAGUAAGUGGUUUGUUAAAGUCUUCGUUAAAGUCUUUAAUCAGAUGCCUGACUCUUCGGUCAGAGGAGCAGAGCUGCUGUGCUAACUCAGGUUUUGGUGCCUGCCUUCCUAACCCCCACUCAAAAGGCGAAGGCACCCUGAGCUAUUUUUCCCAAAGGUCUGGGCCUCAGGCACUAUCAGGAUGAAUUCCAAGAUAGUCUCUGCAAAGGGCCACCCUGGGCUGAGCAGCAGAGGAGGGAGCAGCUGAGCAGGCGAAAGGUGGUGGUGGAGGCAGGUGAGAGCCACCCACCUCAGCCCCAGCCAGGGAUCUUGUUCCAAGGCGGCCCCAAAUUCCACUCUGAGUACAGACUGCUAUUGACAGGAAACUGACAGAAGGAAGGAUCAUUACUCCUUUUUUCUUUCUCCUUGGGGUGAGAACUAUCCAUGUCUCUAUUUACUAGUUCAGAGGGUGGCUGUUUCCUUAAGAUAAGACCCCUUCCAGCUUUCUGCAUGUUGUUAGCUGCAGGCAAGCAUAGGGAUUGUCAGCUGUUGCAAACUGAAGCCCUCGUUGUGAUCUGCUGAGCCCAAAGGGCUGGAACUCUAAUCCCCUCAAAACCACCGAUCAACUGUGUGACUCAGUGGGUUACUUAACCACUCUGUGCUUCAGUGUCCUGUAAAACGAGGAUAAUUAAUAGUAACUGCAAAAGGUUAUGAUUGAAUUAAAUGAGUUACUAUAUGUGAAGCCUAAGAAUAAUGCCUAGCACAUAGUAUGGAAUGAAAUGUGUGUUACGAUAAACAAAUACAUAGCCCUUUACUUGCUAGGUGGAAUGUUUUCCUGAUUCGUGAAUCGCUUAAUAAAGCCAAUUUGAUACAUAAAUACAUGCAUACAUACAUAGGUCCUUUUGUCCUGGAUGGGAGGACUAUUAAUGUGCAGCUUCUGGACGUGGGAGUCUGUCGGCUUUUAACAGUCUCUGCAGCCAGCCCUCCUUUGGACUCGUCCCUCCCUCACCACCCUCAAUAAUGAGGGUUGCAACUCCACUUUACAUACUCCUUAGCCAAAGGCUGGCUUCUGUUUCCUCCAGCCCACCGUGGGUUACACGGUCCAUAUGAUGGUGGUCAUAGAGCAAGUAGCCUCCAAUCCUCAAAACCCUCAAACAUGCAUCCUAUUACUGAUGAUACCCAGGCACCUGCCACCCCUUCCUCAGACAGGUACCUCCUCCAC
Molecule: long non-coding RNA, 1826 nt
Organism: Leopardus geoffroyi (Geoffroy's cat)
Lineage: Eukaryota; Metazoa; Chordata; Mammalia; Carnivora; Felidae
Exons: 2
Source: RefSeq, a predicted model, not a curated record